GUUACUAGAGUGUAGAGCUUUGCCUGCUAUCUCUUACCCAUGUCUUUUGAGUACCUUACGUUUCCUCGGUGGGUUCGCCCACCGAUUGGACAAAUUUAAACCCUUUGCAGUUGAAAUCAGCGUCUGAAAAAACUUAAUAGUUACAACUUUCAACAACGGAUCUCUUGGUUCUGGCAUCGAUGAAGAACGCAGCGAAAUGCGAUAAGUAGUGUGAAUUGCAGAAUUCAGUGAAUCAUCGAAUCUUUGAACGCACAUUGCGCCCCUUGGUAUUCCAUGGGGCAUGCCUGUUCGAGCGUCAUUUGUACCUUCAAGCUCUGCUUGGUGUUGGGUGUUUGUCUCCUGUAGACUCGCCUUAAAACAAUUGGCAGCCGGCGUAUUGAUUUCGGAGCGCAGUACAUCUCGCGCUUUGCACUCAUAACGACGACAUCCAAAAGUACAUUUUUACACUCUUGACCUCGGAUCAGGUAGGGAUACCCGCUGAACUUAAGCAUAUCAAAA
RNAcentral lists this ribosomal RNA (498 nucleotides) under Phoma sp. QTYC30. RNAcentral describes it as "eukaryotic LSU rRNA". The stretch from base 145 to 298 matches the Rfam family "5.8S ribosomal RNA". Lineage: Eukaryota; Fungi; Ascomycota; Dothideomycetes; Pleosporales; Didymellaceae. The record is from RNAcentral.